RNAcentral lists this ribosomal RNA (1066 nucleotides) under Pediococcus ethanolidurans. RNAcentral describes it as "bacterial SSU rRNA". It matches the Rfam family "Bacterial small subunit ribosomal RNA", at positions 48 to 1066 of the family's 1533-position model. The record is from RNAcentral. Lineage: Bacteria; Bacillati; Bacillota; Bacilli; Lactobacillales; Lactobacillaceae.
CUAAUACAUGCAAGUCGAACGCACUUUCGUUAAUUGAUUUUGAGAUGCUUGCAUCGAAGAUGAUUUUAACUAUAAAGUGAGUGGCGAACGGGUGAGUAACACGUGGGUAACCUGCCCAGAAGUGGGGGAUAACACCUGGAAACAGAUGCUAAUACCGCAUAACAAAAUUAACCGCAUGGUUGAUUUUUAAAAGAUGGCUUCGGCUAUCACUUCUGGAUGGACCCGCGGCGUAUUAGCUAGUUGGUGAGAUAAAGGCUCACCAAGGCAGUGAUACGUAGCCGACCUGAGAGGGUAAUCGGCCACAUUGGGACUGAGACACGGCCCAGACUCCUACGGGAGGCAGCAGUAGGGAAUCUUCCACAAUGGACGCAAGUCUGAUGGAGCAACGCCGCGUGAGUGAUGAAGGCUUUCGGGUCGUAAAACUCUGUUGUUGGAGAAGAACGUGUGUGAGAGUAACUGCUCAUGCAGUGACGGUAUCCAACCAGAAAGCCACGGCUAACUACGUGCCAGCAGCCGCGGUAAUACGUAGGUGGCAAGCGUUAUCCGGAUUUAUUGGGCGUAAAGCGAGCGCAGGCGGUCUUUUAAGUCUAAUGUGAAAGCCUUCGGCUUAACCGAAGAAGUGCAUUGGAAACUGGGAGACUUGAGUGCAGAAGAGGAGAGUGGAACUCCAUGUGUAGCGGUGAAAUGCGUAGAUAUAUGGAAGAACACCAGUGGCGAAGGCGGCUCUCUGGUCUGCAACUGACGCUGAGGCUCGAAAGCAUGGGUAGCGAACAGGAUUAGAUACCCUGGUAGUCCAUGCCGUAAACGAUGAAUGCUAAGUGUUGGAGGGUUUCCGCCCUUCAGUGCUGCAGCUAACGCAUUAAGCAUUCCGCCUGGGGAGUACGACCGCAAGGUUGAAACUCAAAAGAAUUUGACGGGGGCCCGCACAAGCGGUGGGAGCAUGUGGUUUAAUUCGAAGCUACGCGAAGAACCCUUACUCAGGUCUUGACAUCUUCUGCUAACCCUAGAGAUUAGGCGUUCCCUUCGGGACGGAAUGACAGUGNGCAUGAUGUCGUCAGCUCGUGUC